GGAAUAUUGGUCAAUGGGCGCAAGCCUGAACCAGCCAUGCCGCGUGCAGGAUGACGCAUCUAUGGUGUGUAAACUGCUUUUGUACAGGAAGAAACAUCCCGACGAGUCGGGACUUGACGGUACUGUAAGAAUAAGGAUCGGCUAACUCCGUGCCAGCAGCCGCGGUAAUACGGAGGAUCCAAGCGUUAUCCGGAAUCAUUGGGUUUAAAGGGUCCGUAGGCGGCUUAAUAAGUCAGCGGUGAAAGUUUUUGGCUUAACCAAAAAAUUGCCAUUGAUACUGUUAGGCUUGAAUUUUUGUGAAGUAACUAGAAUAUGUAGUGUAGCGGUGAGAUGCUUAGAUAUUACAUGGAAUACCAAUUGCGAAGGCAGGUUACUAACAAACGAUUGGCGCUGAUGGACGAAAGCGUGGGUAGCGAACAGGAUUAGAUACCCCUG
RNAcentral lists this ribosomal RNA (435 nucleotides) under uncultured Flavobacterium sp. Its description in RNAcentral is "bacterial SSU rRNA". It matches the Rfam family "Bacterial small subunit ribosomal RNA", at positions 358 to 789 of the family's 1533-position model. Lineage: Bacteria; Pseudomonadati; Bacteroidota; Flavobacteriia; Flavobacteriales; Flavobacteriaceae. The record is from RNAcentral.